AAUUGAUUAAUUAGAACAAGAAUUGCUUGAGUUGGUGCUCUACGUGUUAAGCAAGAAGACAAAAGCAAGUUUAAUUGUUUUAGUUUGUGAACAAAAGGUUAUGAAGGAGUCUGUCGCACCAGAAUUGAAAGGAUGGCUAGCGCUAACUCUGCACACCAGUUGAUCAACAAAUUGCCACAAUGAAAACUGAACCUGCAGCAACAAAAAUUAGGAAGCCUCUGUCAAUACGCAGUCAAGAAUUCUAAUUAAUCAAGACCCCCCCUGUGAGCUCCGGAAAAAUUUAUCGAGAUAAGGUGAGAUCGUUUGGAAUAAAUUUGACGAUAUCGGUAAUUGUUAUUCCAAACUUGACGAUAUCGGUAAUUGUUAAAAAUCUUCGGGAAUAAUUAUUGAGAUUUUUCACAAGGUGGAGUCUUCAAAAUUUAGACUCUAUAAUGAAGUACGCGAUGUGACGAGUCCGUGAGAAUUUUCAGGGAAAUUUUCGGACACUGACCUAUUUAUUAUGAAUUUCCAAAGUUUAGGAAUUAUGGAAAUUCAUUUUAUAUAAAAAAGGAAAUGUUUUGGCACGAUCUGAGCCGUUGAAACAUUCACCGCUUCAUCUGAGCCAUCCAAAAUCGUUUUCCCCUUAAAUAAGAGAGGAGACUUGAUGGACGCACUAGAUCGUUCCAGAAACGAACAGAAGCAUCGACCCAUUUCUGCAGCUCGAGACCCGCGACGGUGACCCAACCGGGAACUCCAGCGUCCGGCAACGACACGACGGCGAACCGGUCAUGUUCGACGCGUCUUGUGGUCGUAGUUCUGCCUAUGGUCACAAAUCGUCCAUGCAUGGAGCGAGGAGAGAGAACGGAAGCCCGAAAGCUUCGAGUUUUCCGGCAAAGUUUCUGCAAUUUCCGGCGAUCUUCGGGGCUACAUGAGCGGAGCCGCUGUCCUCCUUGGUCGUCCUUUGCUUCUGGGUUCGUCGCCGACCUCCUGAAGCAUGGAUUGGCAUCUGUUGGAGCUCGAUUCCUUGAGUGGGUUGAAUUGUGCCGAAGGGAGACUGCAGUUAAAUUUGGGUUCCAGAAAAUUCAAAGCUAAGGAAAGAGAAAGUAAGAACAAAGCCAAUAAUUGAACUUUGGAAGGAAGGAAUGAUCAAUGAUGGAACCGAUAAUUAAGGAACAGGAGGAGAAAGCAUACUGUUGUUUCUAGUCCAACAAUCCAGCAAGAAGGAAGAGUUUAAUCUAAAGAUUUUACAAGGACUCCAGUUACCCGAGGAAUGGAAGGUUCGUGACUCUCAGAGUACGUGAAGAAAAGCAUCGGAAUCUAGGUAGGGGACUCGGGACUCAUUCGGUUAGUUGUUUUCCUUUUUGAAUUAAAUGUUUAUGCAUAUUUGAGUUGCAUGGUUUGGUUAUUGAUGGCUUGAGAGUGAGUGGAACAUAGCGAUUCCUUGGGCUUCGAUCCCCUAAACCUCCGGAGGGGCCGUAGGGACGAAAUGGUGUCUGACAUCCUCUGAGAUGUGGCACUCUUUCUAGGUGAUAUGGCGUAAGUGGACACUCUCACUACGCUUACCUGGUGAUGAUUUUAUUUGAGGUAAGGCCGUGUAGUUGGUUCGUGGGACUGGCCAUCAGGUAUUAUGCAUUUCUUUGAGUUUUGUGCUUUGGAUUUUGAGUCCGAAAGAUAUUUGAAGUUUGUCGUCCUUUAAAGAAAUGGUUUAACUUUUUCAUAUUGGGUACCCAAAUUUCUAUUUUGUGUGUCGGUUUUCAAACCUAGUCGGGUGAAGCCCCUAUUGAGCAGCGAGGACGAAAGCUCACCCCUACAAUAGUGUGGAUGCAGGUACUGUGCAUUGGUAAUGGGAUUGGAGCGGAUGGAGUUGGGUGUGCGGAUUUCAGUAAUGUAUCUCUGUGUAAACCAGGUUCCGAGUUCCAAAUCCUAUCCUUGUUUCUACAAGCUGUAUUUCCGGAAUUUGUUGAAAACUGUUUUGUUGUGUGCUUAAUCCUUUAUUCCUCGAUUGUUUGCAACGUUAAGUAUUGGAUGAACAUUUGAAUUUAAAGUUUUAGAAAGGUUUUCAACUCAAAAGAAUUUAAAAGCUUCCGUUGUGUAUUUUUGGGAAAAAUUUAUUUUGAACAAAUUUGCCUUGCAAAUUUCUAGAAUGUAAAAUUUAUUUUCGGUUUAUGUUUUAGAGACUCGCAGCACUGUAACGUACUCAAGGUGGUGAGGUACAGUUUGGGGCGUUA
Rosa chinensis is the source of this 2207-nucleotide long non-coding RNA. RefSeq lists it as uncharacterized. NCBI's taxonomy places the organism in Eukaryota, Viridiplantae, Streptophyta, Magnoliopsida, Rosales, Rosaceae. The record is from RefSeq and is a predicted model, not a curated record. The transcript has 5 exons.